CCUACGGGAGGCAGCAGUGGGGAAUAUUGCACAAUGGGGGAAACCCUGAUGCAGCGACGCCGCGUGAGUGAAGAAGUAUUUCGGUAUGUAAAGCUCUAUCAGCAGGGAAGAAAUAAAGUCCUCCGGACUUUGGACGGUACCUGACUAAGAAGCCCCGGCUAACUACGUGCCAGCAGCCGCGGUAAUACGUCGGGGGCAAGCGUUAUCCGGAUUUACUGGGUGUAAAGGGAGCGUAGACGGAAGCGCAAGUCGGGAGUGAAAUCCCAUGGCUUAACCAUGGAACUGCAUUUGAAACUGUGAAGCUGGAGUGCAGGAGAGGUAAGCGGAAUUCCUGGUGUAGCGGUGAAAUGCGUAGAUAUUAGGAGGAACACCAGUGGCGAAGGCGGCUUACUGGACUGUAACUGACGUUGAGGCUCGAAAGCGUGGGGAGCAAACAGGAUUAGAUACCCUAGUAGUC
This 457-nucleotide ribosomal RNA is filed under the name uncultured bacterium. RNAcentral describes it as "partial 16S ribosomal RNA". It matches the Rfam family "Bacterial small subunit ribosomal RNA", at positions 338 to 795 of the family's 1533-position model. The record is from RNAcentral.